CCUACGGGUGGCAGCAGUGAGGAAUAUUGGUCAAUGGGCGGAAGCCUGAACCAGCCAAGUAGCGUGCAGGAUGACGGCCCUACGGGUUGUCAACUGCUUUUAUACGGGAAUAACGCGCCUUACGUGUAGGGCUUUGCAUGUACCGUAUGAAUAAGGACCGACUAAUUCCGUUCCAGCAGCCGCGGUAAUACGGAGGGUCCGGGCGUUAUCCGGAUUUAUUGGGGUUAAAGGGAGCGUAGGCCGCAUGUCAAGCGUGCUGUGAAAUGUCGGGGCUCAACCCCGGCCUGCCGUCGGAACUGGGUGCCUUGAGUGGGCGAGAAGGAUGCAGAAUGCGUGGUGUAGCGGUGAAAUGCAUAGAGAUCACGCAGAACCCCGAUUGCGAAGGCAGCAUACCGGCGCCCUACUGACGCUGAGGCACGAAAGUGCGGGUAUCGAACAGGAUUAGAUACCCCAGUAGUC
RNAcentral lists this ribosomal RNA (459 nucleotides) under uncultured bacterium. RNAcentral's name for it is "partial 16S ribosomal RNA". It matches the Rfam family "Bacterial small subunit ribosomal RNA", at positions 338 to 795 of the family's 1533-position model. The record is from RNAcentral.